This 477-nucleotide ribosomal RNA is filed under the name uncultured bacterium. RNAcentral's name for it is "partial 16S ribosomal RNA". It matches the Rfam family "Bacterial small subunit ribosomal RNA", at positions 28 to 507 of the family's 1533-position model. The record is from RNAcentral.
GAUAAACGCUGGCGGCGUGCAUAACACAUGCAAGUCGAACGAUGAAGAUUAAAAGAUUUCUUCGGAAUGAACUUAAUUGGAUUAGUGGCGGACGGGUGAUUAACGCGUGAGUAACCUGCCUUGUACAAGGGGAUAGCCGUUGGAAACGACGAAUAAUACCCUAUGACAUCAAAUAAUCGCAUGAUAAUUUGAUCAAAGAUUUAUCGGUAUAAGAUGGACUCGCGUCUGAUUAGCUAGUUGGUAGAGUAAAAGCCUACCAAGGCAACGAUCAGUAGCCGGCUUGAGAGAGUGUACGGCCACAUUGGGACUGAGACACGGCCCAGACUCCUACGGGAGGCAGCAGUGGGGAAUUUUGCACAAUGGGGGAAACCCUGAUGCAGCGACGCCGCGUGAUUUAGAAGGCCUUCGGGUUGUAAAAAUCUUUUGUAUGGGAAGAAAAUGACAGUACCAUACGAAUAAGAACCGGCUAAUUACGUG